GGAAAGAGGAGCCUGGCAGGCUACAGUCCAUGAGGCCCCUAGAGUCAGACACGACUUAGCGAUUAAACCACCACCACGUACAGUCUGGGCUUCUUUCCAGAGGCUACCGCCUCACUAAACUUUAUCUGGCUCUAUCCUGUUGGUUCUGUUUUCUCUGGAGAGCCCUGACUAACACACUGCCAUGAUCAACUGGGCGUGGAGAAGGAGCAGCUUGGAAUGGCAGCGGACAGCCAGAACAGAUGGACAGCAGCUGAAUCAAUCAAGAAGCGAUUGCAAUCUAUGGUCCUGGAGGCAAUUACCACUCCCUCACUGAGAAGUCAAUGAAAAGGAUACAUCAAAGAGUUAUUAACACACUCAUAAAUUUGUAAAGCAUCUCCUAACGACACCACUAUAACUAUCCCCAUGUAUAAUGGCUUCAUAAUUUUAUUUGUUGAAGUAUAAUGUACACAAGUGAAAUGUUUAUAUCUUAGGUGUGCUGUCCAAUCAGUUUUGAUAAAUGCAUAUACUUUUGCAGACUAUGCCCCUAUCAAGACACAGAGCAUUUCCUUCAAACCCAGAAAGUUACUUGUGUCCCUACCCAGGCAAUGCCCCUCUCAGAAACAACAACUAAUCCUGUUAUUUGUCACUAUAUUCCAAAGUUUCAUAUAAAUUGAAUCCUGUAGUUUGUCAUCUUUUGCAUCUUGCUUUUUUAUUUAGCAUAAUAUUUUCUGAGAAUGACUCAUAUUAUUUCAAGUACCAGUAUCUGAUCCCUUUUUAUUGCAAAGUAAGAUUCCAUUAUAAGAAAAUACACAGUUUAAUAAUCCAUUCUUCUAUUGAUGGACAUCUGGGAUGCUUACAGGUUGGAAUUGUUAUGAAAAGAAGAUUCUAUGAACAAUUUUAUUUUCCUUUUUGGUGUAACUAUGUUUUUGUUUCUCUUGAAUAAAUAUCUUGG
Molecule: long non-coding RNA, 931 nt
Organism: Bos taurus (domestic cattle)
Lineage: Eukaryota; Metazoa; Chordata; Mammalia; Artiodactyla; Bovidae
Source: Ensembl